GGGGUUGUGGUUUAGUGGUAUAACGUUCGCUUAGCAUGCAUCUCAACGCAUGCGAAAGGUCCGGGGUUCGAUUCCCCGCAACUCCA
This is a transfer RNA of Aspergillus terreus NIH2624, 86 nucleotides long. It matches the Rfam family "tRNA". From Rfam's summary of the family: Transfer RNA (tRNA) molecules are approximately 80 nucleotides in length. Their secondary structure includes four short double-helical elements and three loops (D, anti-codon, and T loops). Lineage: Eukaryota; Fungi; Ascomycota; Eurotiomycetes; Eurotiales; Aspergillaceae. The record is from Rfam.